ACGUAGGGGGCGAGCGUUGUCCGGAUUCACUGGGCGUAAAGGGUUCGUAGGCGGCAUGUCAAGUCUCACGUCAAAUCCCCGGGCUCAACCCGGGACCGGCAUGGGAUACUGGCAAGCUUGAGGACGGGAGAGGCGAGCGGAACGUUGCAAGUAGCGGUGAAAUGCAUUGAUAUGCAACGGAACACCAAUGGCGAAGGCAGCUCGCUGGCCCGUAUCUGACGCUGAGGGACGAAAGCCAGGGUAGCGAACGG
This 251-nucleotide ribosomal RNA is filed under the name uncultured prokaryote. Its description in RNAcentral is "partial 16S rRNA". It matches the Rfam family "Bacterial small subunit ribosomal RNA", at positions 525 to 775 of the family's 1533-position model. The record is from RNAcentral.